This 70-nucleotide transfer RNA is filed under the name Dipodomys ordii (Ord's kangaroo rat). It matches the Rfam family "tRNA". From Rfam's summary of the family: Transfer RNA (tRNA) molecules are approximately 80 nucleotides in length. Lineage: Eukaryota; Metazoa; Chordata; Mammalia; Rodentia; Heteromyidae. The record is from Rfam by way of RNAcentral.
GUUGUAGCUCAAGUGGUAGAGCACCUGCUGAACAAGCAGGAGGCCCUGGGUUUGAUCCCCAGUACUAACA